UUAGAAUAGGAGGGGGCCGCGCGAACGCAGGCCCCCACAGCAACAAAUUAUGAUGUAGGUUCCACCACUUGGGUAGACCUUAGGGUAGCACCCCUCCUAAGUGCAAUGGAGGUCACUCUCCUAGGCCAUGGUCCUUCAUGAUCAACCAUUGACCCCAUCCAGGUAAGUAUGUUACAAUGAGGGUAUUCAAGUUGUUUUAUAGUCCUUCUUAUCGCAAUAACUUUCAGCUUUUUUCGGUGUGGGACUCAACUACCAGUACCCAAUGUAUUUCCCAACUUGUGUAAGAUUGAUCGAUAAAGGGUGCAUGCCGGUACUGAUUGUUGGUGGUGUAAGUUGGAGUUGGAGACAGCAGAGCACGUGUAGUAAGAGUAUUCAUACUGCUGCUAUAUAGGAACACUGGAGAGAAAAUCUGUCACAUAUUACAUGCACUAUCAAAGGUUCUUUGGCUACGUCCGUCCAUAUCUUCUGGUCUAAACUGUAUCAUCCAUUGUCUCCAAUGUACACACAUUCAACCCAUUGGCUAUGGGCUGCAGCAACUUAUCAUAUUGUCAAUGGUCACACACUAAAGCAUUUGUCUGCUGCAAUGGUUUCUCUCAUCUUAACAGUAAUGAAUGCAAAGAGUGAGGAUAUGUCCAACGCAUAGUUGGAAUUAGCUUUUUGUUUAUGGAUAUCUAUAGGAUUGUAUAGAAAUGGGGGAUUUUAGAACAUUAGUAAACAAAUUUGAGACUAGGAAUUUGGGAACAUUUUUUUGAGUGGAUUUAAUAUGAUUUUUUCU
Molecule: long non-coding RNA, 775 nt
Organism: Vicia villosa (hairy vetch)
Lineage: Eukaryota; Viridiplantae; Streptophyta; Magnoliopsida; Fabales; Fabaceae
Exons: 3
Source: RefSeq, a predicted model, not a curated record